UAUAUUAUUCUAUGUAAUAUUAUAAAGUUAGAAUGAUACAAAGAAGAUUAGCAAGUCUCCUGCGCAAGGAUGACGUGCAAAAAUUGAGAAAGGGUCCAAAUUUUG
Molecule: small nuclear RNA, 105 nt
Filed under: Nicotiana sylvestris (wood tobacco)
Lineage: Eukaryota; Viridiplantae; Streptophyta; Magnoliopsida; Solanales; Solanaceae
Also listed under: 1 other name
Source: RNAcentral